Molecule: long non-coding RNA, 882 nt
Organism: Homo sapiens (human)
Lineage: Eukaryota; Metazoa; Chordata; Mammalia; Primates; Hominidae
Gene: ODC1-DT
Product: ODC1 divergent transcript
Exons: 5
Source: RefSeq, marked validated
UGGUACCCAAAACCAGGUCUGAGGCACAGUCAGUGAAUACCUGUUUAAUGAAUGCAUGCAUAAAUGAAUGAAUGGAUGAUCCAGCUCUUCCUGGAGCAGGCACGACUUCCACAGAAACAGAGCAAACGCUAGCCGUAAGCAGAAAGAACGUUAUAGCUCCAGCGCUGAAUGAGACAUCUUUGAUUCUGUGGUGAUGCGGACUUUGUGCCUCUCUGUGAGGAAUCACUUUGUUCCAAUGACGCAAUUUUCCUCACACUCCGGAAGUGUCCUGCACUGCCAGAAUCGCCCAGCUUCCCGGCACACCUAUCAACCAGUCGUUCCCAGCACUGCCCAGUAUGCAGCCUCCAGGCAGAGGGCCUGGAUGUCUUGGCAGGUGUUUCCGAAAAAUCCAAUCCACCCUCCAAGGUGGAAAGUGUGCCAUCUCUGCCCAUAAUCCAAAUGGCGUGCCUGAGGCAUAGAAAGCAGCUUUCAGGGAGGCCUUCCUUCCUCUGAGCAAUGGUGGCAUCAUCAGAAAAGUGGAGCUCCUCCAAAAGGAUCUGCUGGAAGCAGAGGACGCCCAUGUCGCCUGGUGACUCCCUCUGACCCAACAAGUUGCAGCACCUCUGCUGGGCUUUGCCACUGCCCCAUUUUUGCCAGAGCCUCACCCUGGUGGGGCCCCACCUCUGGGAAGCCCCAGCGCCUGCAAGAUUUUUUCCUCUCGUGACAGGGAGCAGCAUGCGGAGGGCCCUUGCACAACCUGGGUCUUCAGGAAGUUCCUUGCCCAGGUGUUGGCCCAGCUCUCUUCAUGGUUCCAAGAAGGCUGCCCCAGGAAGGCUUGUGGACAGAGGGAGAAGCAUCUCUUCCUCUAUGUCUCUUUUUAUCUAAGAAACCAGUUUGACCAGC